This 253-nucleotide ribosomal RNA is filed under the name uncultured bacterium. RNAcentral describes it as "partial 16S ribosomal RNA". It matches the Rfam family "Bacterial small subunit ribosomal RNA", at positions 524 to 776 of the family's 1533-position model. The record is from RNAcentral.
UACGGAGGGUGCAAGCGUUAUCCGGAAUCAUUGGGUUUAAAGGGUCCGCAGGCGGACGUAUAAGUCAGUGGUGAAAUCCUGCAGCUUAACUGCAGAACUGCCAUUGAUACUGUACGUCUUGAAUUCGGUCGAAGUGGGCGGAAUGUGUAGUGUAGCGGUGAAAUGCAUAGAUAUUACACAGAACACCGAUAGCGAAGGCAGCUCACUAGGCCUGGAUUGACGCUCAGGGACGAAAGCGUGGGGAUCAAACAGG